RNAcentral lists this ribosomal RNA (468 nucleotides) under uncultured bacterium. RNAcentral describes it as "partial 16S ribosomal RNA". It matches the Rfam family "Bacterial small subunit ribosomal RNA", at positions 28 to 507 of the family's 1533-position model. The record is from RNAcentral.
GACGAACGCUGGCGGCGUGCUUAACACAUGCAAGUCGAACGGAAAGGCACUGCGUUUGUGGGGUGCUCGAGUGGCAAACGGGUGAGUAACACGUGAGUAACCUGCCCUUGACUUUGGUAGAACUUCAGGAAACUGGAGCUAAUACCGUAUAGGAGCUCCUGCUGCAUGGUGUGGGGUGGAAAGUUUCGGCGGUUGGGGCUGUACUCGCGGCUGAUCCGCUUGUUGGUUGGGUAGUGGCUUACCAAGGCUUUGACGGGUAGCCGGCCUGAGAGGGCGACCGGCGACCUGGGGCCUGAGAUACGGCCCAGACGCCUACGGAAGGCAGCAGUGGGGAAUAUUGCACAAUGGGCGGAAGCCUGAUGCAGCAACGCCGCGUGUGGGAUGCCGGCUUUCGGGUUGUAAACAGCUUUCGCCUGUGACGAAGCGUGAGUGACGGUAACGGGUAAAGAAGCACCGGCUAACUACGUG